Capra hircus (goat) is the source of this 1064-nucleotide long non-coding RNA. RefSeq lists it as uncharacterized. The transcript is spliced from 2 exons. NCBI's taxonomy places the organism in Eukaryota, Metazoa, Chordata, Mammalia, Artiodactyla, Bovidae. The record is from RefSeq and is a predicted model, not a curated record.
CGCUCGAAUCUGCGUGGUGUGGUGGGAGCGCGCCUGCCCUAACUUCCCAGCCUGCUAGUCUGCCUCCUUCUUUCCGAACCCACGAAAAAGUUGAACUUGGGCUAGGAGCAGAGCUUCGCCAAGUCGGCGUCCAGGCAAGAAAGCCAGGAAGCAGCUUGCAUACCCAGGCCUGCUGUGGUACCUCACCUUCCCUGCCCUCUCCCCCAGUCAGAGGCCAAGUACCUUUAAGAGUCUGAUCUUAGAGUGCUGUCCUCCCGGGAACCAGGAAAGUCUAACAGUUGUUCGCUUUUCCUCUGAGCAUGAUUGGCUAUGUAUUCAAUGUGUAUAUAUAUGACAUAGCUUUCAGAAAAGCUAAAAAUCAUGUGGGGUGUAAGCUGCAGAAGCUAAGAUGCCGCCGCUGUACAUACGUUAUACGUUUAAACACCAAACACGGGAAUUUAAAAAAAAUGCCAAGUCAAGCCGUUCUUUGCUUGCUCCAAACAGAAUUUCAGAGAUAGGCUGGGAUUUUGUGCCCUUAGAAAAGAAAACGGAAACUAUGUUUUAUUGUGCAUAGUAUUACUUAACAUUAAAAGGGGGGGGGGACUAACAUGCAUUGCUAUUAGCAUUUUAUUUAUGUUUCUAUGUUUAAGUACCAGAGUCCAAAGUUCACUGAUAGACUUCUAAACGCGGAUUUUAAAAAAGAAUGUGUUUACCUUCUUUGCAGAUUAGAAAUUUGGAAUAUUGUGAAAACAUAGGGGAUAUUUUCUCAGUCUUUGUACCUGACCAAAGGAGAUCACUGACCUCUAUAAUCAUUUUCCAUUUAAUUUCAUUAGAAAAACCUAAAAUGUAAACACGGAUAACAAUCUGACAUAAGAGAAUUUAAGCAUUUACUUUAAAAGUUCCCCUCUCUCAACUGUCAAGCUUCAAGUAAUCGUUCAAGCAGUUGCAGGCUACUUUUUGGAUAAUGCAUUUGUAAAUUCUUGGUUAAAAAAAGUACUAGAAAUUAAGCAAAAAUACUCAAUUUUAUGAAAGAUUUUUAAGAAUUUGUGUCACAAUCCUUUACUUAAUAAAGUCAUUUAAACUGA